ACAUUCAUUUACGUGAUUUUAUCCACCUUGAUUGCAGCAAGUCAAGAAGAACAGGGAUCCAAGAUGGGAAGAGGAUUUUACUUUUGUGUUGGAGGAGCCUCCUGUGAAUGAUAGGCUGCAUUUGGAAGUUCUCAGCACCUCAAUGAGGAUUGGCCUAUUGCAUCCUAAGGAGGUAUUGGGUUAUAUUGAUAUAAGCCUUUCCGAUGUUGUUAACAACAAAAGGAUCAACGAGAAGUACCACCUCAUUGAUUCAAAGAACGGUCGCCUUCAAGUUGAGCUGCAAUGGAGAACUGCAUCAUGAUCUAAUCGCUAGUUCCAUGCCUGAAAACAUGUUCAUUUUCCUUGUAUUCUGUUUUUUGAUUGUCCGAUGGGUGUUUGGGGAGUAAAACAAAAAUAUUUCCUUUUUCAGCCCACGUUGGAAAAAUCUUUGCAAUUGUUUUGUACAUUACUACGUAACAAAAUUGUUUGUUUAGUUUGCCUUUUU
Nicotiana tabacum (common tobacco) is the source of this 484-nucleotide non-coding RNA. The record is from RefSeq and is a predicted model, not a curated record. Lineage: Eukaryota; Viridiplantae; Streptophyta; Magnoliopsida; Solanales; Solanaceae.